AGAGUUUGAUCAUGGCUCAGAAUCAACGCUGGCGGCGUGCCUAACACAUGCAAGUCGAACGCGAAAGCCCCGCAAGGGGUAAGUAGAGUGGCAAACGGGUGAGUAACACGUGGGUGACCUGCCUUCGAGUGGGGGAUAACGUCCCGAAAGGGACGCUAAUACCGCAUGACAUCCUGCCUUUGGAGAGGCGGAAAUCAAAGCCGGGGAUCGUAAGACCUCGCGUUAUUGGAGCGGCCGAUGCCGGAUUAGCUAGUUGGUGAGGUAAGAGCUCACCAAGGCGACGAUCCGUAGCUGGUCUGAGAGGACGACCAGCCACACUGGGACUGAGACACGGCCCAGACUCCUACGGGAGGCAGCAGUGGGGAAUUUUGGACAAUGGGCGCAAGCCUGAUCCAGCCAUGCCGCGUGAGUGAAGAAGGCCUUCGGGUUGUAAAGCUCUUUCGCAAGGAAAGAAAACUUAUCUACUAAUACUAGGUGAGGUUGACGGUACCUUGAUAAGA
RNAcentral lists this ribosomal RNA (500 nucleotides) under uncultured bacterium. RNAcentral's name for it is "bacterial SSU rRNA". It matches the Rfam family "Bacterial small subunit ribosomal RNA", at positions 8 to 488 of the family's 1533-position model. The record is from RNAcentral.